UAGGGAAUCUUCGGCAAUGGGGGGAACCCUGACCGAGCAACGCCGCGUGAGUGAAGAAGGUUUUCGGAUCGUAAAGCUCUGUUGUUAAGGAAGAACGAGUGUGAGAAUGGAAAGUUCAUACUGUGACGGUACUUAACCAGAAAGGGACGGCUAACUACGUGCCAGCAGCCGCGGUAAUACGUAGGUCCCGAGCGUUGUCCGGAUUUAUUGGGCGUAAAGCGAGCGCAGGCGGUUAGAUAAGUCUGAAGUUAAAGGCAGUGGUUCAACCAUUGUAGGCUUUGGAAACUGUUUAACUUGAGUGCAGAAGGGGAGAGUGGAAUUCCAUGUGUAGCGGUGAAAUGCGUAGAUAUAUGGAGGAACACCGGUGGCGAAAGCGGCUCUCUGGUCUGUAACUGACGCUGAGGCUCGAAAGCGUGGGGAGCGAACAGG
RNAcentral lists this ribosomal RNA (429 nucleotides) under Bacteroidota bacterium. RNAcentral's name for it is "Bacteroidetes bacterium partial 16S ribosomal RNA". It matches the Rfam family "Bacterial small subunit ribosomal RNA", at positions 355 to 776 of the family's 1533-position model. The record is from RNAcentral. Lineage: Bacteria; Pseudomonadati; Bacteroidota.